Molecule: ribosomal RNA, 497 nt
Filed under: uncultured bacterium
Lineage: Bacteria
Description: partial 16S ribosomal RNA
Rfam family: Bacterial small subunit ribosomal RNA
Source: RNAcentral
GAUGAACGCUGGCGGCGUGCCUAAUACAUGCAAGUCGAGCGAACAGAUAAGGAGCUUGCUCCUUUGACGUUAGCGGCGGACGGGUGAGUAACACGUGGGUAACCUACCUAUAAGACUGGAAUAACUCCGGGAAACCGGGGCUAAUGCAGGAUAACAUGUUGAACCGCAUGGUUCUACAGUGAAAGGCGGCUUUGCUGUCACUUAUAGAUGGACCCGCGCCGUAUUAGCUAGUUGGUGAGGUAACGGCUCACCAAGGCAACGAUACGUAGCCGACCUGAGAGGGUGAUCGGCCACACUGGAACUGAGACACGGUCCAGACUCCUACGGGAGGCAGCAGUAGGGAAUCUUCCGCAAUGGGCGAAAGCCUGACGGAGCAACGCCGCGUGAGUGAUGAAGGUCUUCGGAUCGUAAAACUCUGUUAUUAGGGAAGAACAAAUGCGUAAGUAACUGUGCGCGUCUUGACGGUACCUAAUCAGAAAGCCACGGCUAACCACGUG